This 31-nucleotide small RNA is filed under the name Arabidopsis thaliana (thale cress). RNAcentral's name for it is "ATSL013150". The record is from RNAcentral. Lineage: Eukaryota; Viridiplantae; Streptophyta; Magnoliopsida; Brassicales; Brassicaceae.
UUUGAUAUGUUGCCAAGUUCUUCUCUUCAAU